GCAUGGUACGAAUCUCUCAUUAAUAUCAAGCAGCUACAUAAGUCGUUCGAUCUCUAUAGAUCGUCCACUCGAAGCCCUAAUCAGAUCUUCUUUUGUGGGAGUGCUAGCUCGCAUUGAAGGCUCUAUCAAGAUGGUUGAUCUAACCUUUUUCCUUUGGAUCUCUCAGACUUCUCUAGAUCAAAAGAUGAAGCUUUAUGAGGAGGUGGUGGUGUGAAAGAUUGGACAAGACUCACUCUUGUAUUUUCUUCUCACAAAACUUAGAGUUGAAACCCUAGAAACCACAGCUCACGCCUG
RNAcentral lists this long non-coding RNA (294 nucleotides) under Elaeis guineensis (African oil palm). RNAcentral's name for it is "long non-coding RNA (EGUI_LNC047602)". Lineage: Eukaryota; Viridiplantae; Streptophyta; Magnoliopsida; Arecales; Arecaceae. The record is from RNAcentral.